RNAcentral lists this long non-coding RNA (366 nucleotides) under Phaseolus vulgaris (common bean). Its description in RNAcentral is "long non-coding RNA (PVUL_LNC003169)". Lineage: Eukaryota; Viridiplantae; Streptophyta; Magnoliopsida; Fabales; Fabaceae. The record is from RNAcentral.
CUCGUGCCGUAUUGGGCCGGGUGAGUUCUGCGGCGAGGAGCUUCUAACAUGGGCCUUGGAUCCAGGGCCCAGCGUGAUCCUCCCUUCGUCCACUCGAACAGUGAAAGCCAUCUCGGAAGUGGAGGCCUUUGCACUGAUAGCGGAGGACCUGAAAUUCGUGGCGUCACAGUUCAGAAGACUGCACAGCAAACAACUGAGACACAGAUUUAGGUUUUAUUCGUACCAGUGGAGAACCUGGGCUGCGUGUUUCGUUCAAGCCGCGUGGAGAAGGCAUAAGAAAAGGAAGGAAGUUGCUGAACUAAGGGCCAGGGCCAUUAACAAUGCUCAUCCUGGGACACCAACGUAUGCCACAAAGGUCGCCAAGAG